This 1459-nucleotide ribosomal RNA is filed under the name uncultured organism. RNAcentral describes it as "16S ribosomal RNA". It matches the Rfam family "Bacterial small subunit ribosomal RNA". The record is from RNAcentral.
GGCCCGCCUAACACAUGCAAGUCGAACGGUAACAGGACCCUUCUUGCUGCUUCGCUGACGAGUGGCGGACGGGUGAGUAAUGUCUGGGAAACUGCCUGAUGGAGGGGGAUAACUACUGGAAACGGUAGCUAAUACCGCAUAACGUCGCAAGACCAAAGAGGGGGACCUUAGGGCCUCUUGCCAUCGGAUGUGCCCAGAUGGGAUUAGCUAGUAGGUGGGGUAACGGCUCACCUAGGCGACGAUCCCUAGCUGGUCUGAGAGGAUGACCAGCCACACUGGAACUGAGACACGGUCCAGACUCCUACGGGAGGCAGCAGUGGGGAAUAUUGCACAAUGGGCGCAAGCCUGAUGCAGCCAUGCCGCGUGUAUGAAGAAGGCCUUCGGGUUGUAAAGUACUUUCAGCGGGGAGGAAGGGAGUAAAGUUAAUACCUUUGCUCAUUGACGUUACCCGCAGAAGAAGCACCGGCUAACUCCGUGCCAGCAGCUGCGGUAAUACGGAGGGUGCAAGCGUUAAUCGGAAUUACUGGGCGUAAAGCGCACGCAGGCGGUUUGUUAAGUCAGAUGUGAAAUCCCCGGGCUCAACCUGGGAACUGCAUCUGAUACUGGCAAGCUUGAGUCUCGUAGAGGGGGGUAGAAUUCCAGGUGUAGCGGUGAAAUGCGUAGAGAUCUGGAGGAAUACCGGUGGCGAAGGCGGCCCCCUGGACGAAGACUGACGCUCAGGUGCGAAAGCGUGGGGAGCAAACAGGAUUAGAUACCCUGGUAGUCCACGCCGUAAACGAUGUCGACUUGGAGGUUGUGCCCUUGAGGCGUGGCUUCCGGAGCUAACGCGUUAAGUCGACCGCCUGGGGAGUACGGCCGCAAGGUUAAAACUCAAAUGAAUUGACGGGGGCCCGCACAAGCGGUGGAGCAUGUGGUUUAAUUCGAUGCAACGCGAAGAACCUUACCUGGUCUUGACAUCCACGGAAGUUUUCAGAGAUGAGAAUGUGCCUUCGGGAACCGUGAGACAGGUGCUGCAUGGCUGUCGUCAGCUCGUGUUGUGAAAUGUUGGGUUAAGUCCCGCAACGAGCGCAACCCUUAUCCUUUGUUGCCAGCGGUCCGGCCGGGAACUCAAAGGAGACUGCCAGUGAUAAACUGGAGGAAGGUGGGGAUGACGUCAAGUCAUCAUGGCCCUUACGACCAGGGCUACACACGUGCUACAAUGGCGCAUACAAAGAGAAGCGACCUCGCGAGAGCAAGCGGACCUCAUAAAGUGCGUCGUAGUCCGGAUUGGAGUCUGCAACUCGACUCCAUGAAGUCGGAAUCGCUAGUAAUCGUGGAUCAGAAUGCCACGGUGAAUACGUUCCCGGGCCUUGUACACACCGCCCGUCACACCAUGGGAGUGGGUUGCAAAAGAAGUAGGUAGCUUAACCUUCGGGAGGGCGCUUACCACUUUGUGAUUCAUGACUGGGGUGAAGUCGUA